AUUGAACGCUGGCGGCAGGCCUAACACAUGCAAGUCGAGCGGAUGAAGGGAGCUUGCUCCUGGAUUCAGCGGCGGACGGGUGAGUAAUGCCUAGAAAUCUGCCUGGUAGUGGGGGAUAACGUCCGGAAACGGGCGCUAAUACCGCAUACGUCCUGAGGGAGAAAGUGGGGGAUCUUCGGACCUCACGCCAUCAGAUGAGCCUAGGUCGGAUUAGCUAGUUGGUGGGGUAAAGGCCUACCAAGGCGACGAUCCGUAACUGGUCUGAGAGGAUGAUCAGUCACACUGGAACUGAGACACGGUCCAGACUCCUACGGGAGGCAGCAGUGGGGAAUAUUGGACAAUGGGCGAAAGCCUGAUCCAGCCAUGCCGCGUGUGUGAAGAAGGUCUUCGGAUUGUAAAGCACUUUAAGUUGGGAGGAAGGGCAGUAAGUUAAUACCUUGCUGUUUUGACGUUACCAACAGAAUAAGCACCGGCUAACUUCGUG
This 484-nucleotide ribosomal RNA is filed under the name uncultured bacterium. Its description in RNAcentral is "partial 16S ribosomal RNA". It matches the Rfam family "Bacterial small subunit ribosomal RNA", at positions 30 to 507 of the family's 1533-position model. The record is from RNAcentral.